AUGACCGCGGAUCAGGUGA
This 19-nucleotide ribosomal RNA is filed under the name Peltigera neopolydactyla. Its description in RNAcentral is "partial 26S ribosomal RNA". The record is from RNAcentral. Lineage: Eukaryota; Fungi; Ascomycota; Lecanoromycetes; Peltigerales; Peltigeraceae. RNAcentral also lists the same sequence under 1 other name.